Gadus morhua (Atlantic cod) is the source of this 2050-nucleotide long non-coding RNA. RefSeq lists it as uncharacterized. Lineage: Eukaryota; Metazoa; Chordata; Actinopteri; Gadiformes; Gadidae. The transcript is spliced from 2 exons. The record is from RefSeq and is a predicted model, not a curated record.
CAGCCACUUCAGGUACCAGAUACCAUGUUUUCGCGGUGGAAACGCAAAAAAGGCGAGCUGAGUCGAGUCGUGUCGAGCUGGUACCAUGCAGUGGAAAAGCGGCAUUAGUUUAUGGGGGCCAUUUCUAAGGUGAAUGAAGCCUGGGGGGGCAUGAGGGUGGAAUCAAUUUUUUGAUUCAGUUUGGUUGACUGCACCGUCAAACGUGAAUGUUAUCUCAUCAAGUGUGUGUGUGUGUGUGUGUGUGUGUGUGUGUGUGUGUGUGUGUGUGUGUGUGUGUGUGUGUGUGUGUGUGUGUGUGUGUGUGUGUGUGUGUGUGUGUGUGUGUGUGUGUGUGUGUGUGUGUGUGUGUGUGUGUGUGUGUGUGUGUGUGUGUGUGUGUGUGUGUGUGUGUGUUUCACACAUUUGUCCAUGUCUAUCCCUUGUGUAUGUGUCAGAGGGAGAAAGGGAGAGGGAUAAAGGGAGGGAGGGAGGGAGAGCCGGCCCACUUAAAAGAGAGAGCUUGGGCAGACAGCCCUAUUAUGUCCUCGUUUGGUUGUAAUUGCCUAACAAAUGUUGGAUGAGUGGAUAGGGAAAGGAGAAAGACAGGAAAAGAGGGAGAAAAGGGAUAGGAUUGGGAGGCAGGGGGAACGGGAGGGGGUGUGGGGUUGACAUGCAAAAUGGAGACAAAUCAUGCCAUUUGUGUAGGUCAGAGCCAUUUUCUAGCCUCAUCACAUGAAAUGGAAAAGGCUUUUUGUGCCGCAGCCAGGCGUCCAGACCGGCCGUGCAGGAGAGUAAUGACACCAGACGGAUCUCUGAUGCCAGCAGAGUCCUGUUUCACUGCUGCACACGGGCUGCAAAUGGACGUUUGCUCUUACACUAAAACAGCAUACUACUCUUCCCCCCCCCCCCCCCCCCCCCCACUGCUAUAACAUUCAUGAUUCGAGGAAAACGCACACUUAUUAUUUUGUUGAAGGCUGAAUAAAAUAAUGGUUGUUCAUUCGCCAGACAGCGAAUGAACAACCCAAUGUGUAUGAUUCCAUUAUUAUUAUUUUGUGUUGCUGUUCUCAUUACAGCAGACCUCUGCUCAUCCAAUGAAAUGGGAUUAUGUGAUGACAUCAUUGUCUGAUGACACACCUCAAUCAGAGACCAGAUCUCCCCCCCCCAAUGGCCAUGGCUACGAUGGGGCCCAGCGGGGGGGUUGGCCACAACAAACGUGGUUAGACUAACUCAUUUACAAAGAGGGAGAAAGACACAAACAAAAAAAGAUGUUUUCUUAGGAAGAGAAGCGACGGUUGCUACAGUUUCACAUCGACUCGGCCAUCUUGCUUUGGGUUUUACAGUCGGCUUAGGCUAUAUUGUCUACAUAUUGGCAGAUAUUACACAUGAUGAGAUGGGCAAGCCUAUAGAAAUGGAAGGACGUGUACGGCCCGAUAAUGAUAUAAAAUAUAUAAAUAGGGUCCAACCUUAUUAUUUUACAUUGGUGAACAUUUUUGGAGCUGAACCUGAAACCAGCCAAUCACCUUCCUUGCCCCGCCGCCGGCUUCCUCCUACAGUGGAGGAUGACGGAGACUCCUACAGCCCUCCCCACCCACCACCACAAAGAGGGAAACUUUUCCUUUGAGCGGCCUCUGAGAAUAGCAUUCUUCAAACGACCUGGCCCUCUGCUUUUAAACACGGCUCCUCUCCACCGGCCCAUCGAUCGCUCGCUGGCUUGAAUAGAACUCACUCAAGCGCAGGCCUCUAGGUGUGUGUGUGUGUGUGUGUGUGUGUGUGUGUGUGUGUGUGUGUGUGUGUGUGUGUGUGUGUGUGUGUGUGUGUGUGUGUGUGUGUGUGUGUGUGUGUGUGUGUGUGUGUGUGUGUGUGUGUGUGUGUGUGUGUGUGUGUGUAUCAUCUCUACGAUUUUUCUCUUCCCCCAUAGGCUUCCUGAUCCUUUGCUAAUUCAACUUCUAAUUGUCCCCGCCCCCUCCACCGUGGCAGCCUAGCGCUUCACGUAUGGAUCAGCUCGCGCUCACGUCCCAGAGGCAAUGGAGCCAAUUAACCAUGAGAGAGGGGGGGGGGGGGGGGGGGAGGG